UCAGGAUGAACGCUAGCGGCAGGCCUAACACAUGCAAGUCGAGGGGCAUCGGGGAAAAGCUUGCUUUUCCGCCGGCGACCGGCGCACGGGUGCGGAACGCGUAUGGAACCUGCCCCUGUCAGGGGAAUAGCCCAGGGAAACUUGGAUUAAUGCCCCAUGGUACCGCGAUAUCGCAUGAUAUUGCGGUUAAAGAUUUAUCGGACAGGGAUGGCCAUGCGUACCAUUAGUUAGUUGGUGGGGUAACGGCCCACCAAGGCAGCGAUGGUUAGGGGCCCUGAGAGGGGGAUCCCCCACACUGGUACUGAGACACGGACCAGACUCCUACGGGAGGCAGCAGUGAGGAAUAUUGGACAAUGGGCGGGAGCCUGAUCCAGCCAUGCCGCGUGCAGGAUGACGGCCCUAUGGGUUGUAAACUGCUUUUAUACGGGAAGAAAUGCGCCCACGUGUGGGCGUCUGACGGUACCGUAAGAAUAAGGACCGGCUAACUCCGUGCCAGCAGCCGCGGUAAUACGGAGGGUCCGAGCGUUAUCCGGAAUCAUUGGGUUUAAAGGGUCCGUAGGCGGGCCUGUAAGUCAGGGGUGAAAGUUUGUGGCUCAACCAUAAAAUUGCCUUUGAUACUGCAGGUCUUGAGUCAUGGUGGGGUCGCCGGAACAUGUGGUGUAGCGGUGAAAUGCAUAGAUAUCACAUAGAACACCGAUCGCGAAGGCAGGUGGCCAACCAUGUACUGACGCUGAUGGACGAAAGCGUGGGUAGCGAACGGGAUUAGAUACCCCGGUAGUCCACGCCGUAAACGAUGGAUACUAGCUGUGGGGACUUCGGUCUCCGUGGCCAAGCGAAAG
RNAcentral lists this ribosomal RNA (839 nucleotides) under Allomuricauda sp. MAR_2010_133. RNAcentral describes it as "bacterial SSU rRNA". It matches the Rfam family "Bacterial small subunit ribosomal RNA", at positions 24 to 857 of the family's 1533-position model. Lineage: Bacteria; Pseudomonadati; Bacteroidota; Flavobacteriia; Flavobacteriales; Flavobacteriaceae. The record is from RNAcentral.